RNA transcript from Gossypium raimondii (Peruvian cotton), 1183 nucleotides. It is a transcript of the gene named MADS-box protein SVP, with no coding region annotated. The transcript has 9 exons. The record is from RefSeq and is a predicted model, not a curated record. Lineage: Eukaryota; Viridiplantae; Streptophyta; Magnoliopsida; Malvales; Malvaceae.
AGUUACUUUGUUUGGUUUGAUCAAAUCUGCUAUUAUUGGUGAUCAGAGCUGAUUUUGGCUAUUCCUUUCUCUCCAUAUAAAAAAGAAAAUAAAACGGAGUGAGACUCUUAAUUUCCAAAAACAAAAUGUCCGAAGACUGAAGAUAAAAUAUAGAAAGCUUCUCUUUAUAUGUAGUUCUAAAAAGCAAGGUCGAAGAGGAGACCUUUCCUUUCUUGAGUCAGGUAGAAAUGGCGAGGGAGAAGAUCAAGAUCAAGAAGAUCGACAACUUGACGGCAAGGCAAGUGACUUUCUCUAAAAGAAGGCGAGGGCUUUUCAAGAAAGCCGAAGAGCUUUCAGUUCUUUGUGACGCCGAGGUUGCUCUCAUUAUUUUCUCAGCUACUGGAAAGCUCUUUGAGUUUGCUAGCUCCAGCAUGAAAGACAUGCUGGGAAGGUAUAAUCUGCAUUCCAACAAAUUAGAUCAACCAUCUCUUGAGCUUCAGCUGGAAAACACUAAUGAAAUUAGUUUGAGCAAGGAAGUUGCUGACAAAACACAUCAACUGAGUCACAUAUAUAAUAGACAGAUGAGAGGAGAAGAUCUUCAAGGAUUGAACAUUGAUGAAUUGCAACAACUAGAGAAACUGCUGGAAUCAGGACUCACUCGAGGUCUUGAGACCAAGGGUGAACGUAUUAUGAAUGAGAUCUCUUCACUUGAAACCAAGGGAGCACAAUUGCAGGAAGAAAAAAGCUACUUAAAGAAAAAUGAUGUUUUCAGUUGGUGUCAUUUUUCAAGGGCAAGAGACUUGCCUUAGUAGAUUCAGAAGUUGCAACUCAGGAAGAAGGCAUGUCAUCACAAUCUGUCAAUAAUGUUUAUAGUUGUAGUAGUGGCCCUCCAUUGGAAGAUGAUAGCUCAGAUACUUAUCUUAAACUAGGGCUUCCCUUCUCUUAGCUAAUAUAGAUUAGCAGUGACGCAUCAAAUUCCAGCAAAGGAUAAAAGCUGAACUUUGCGAGAAUACAUUUCUAUUAUGUUUCAAGUUUAAAGCAAAUAUGAAACAUAUAAUAUGUAUUAUUGUUUUGAAUUUGGAUAAUUUACCUUAAAUUACUUUAAACUUAUUCUAGUAUUUUAUGUACUUGGAUGUAUUUCUCUUACCAGAAGUCCAAAGGAGCUUAAUAAUGAUGAUAAUGGGUUUUAGAAGAAUUUGAUUAA